RNAcentral lists this transfer RNA (87 nucleotides) under Planctomycetota bacterium. Its description in RNAcentral is "tRNA-Ser". It matches the Rfam family "tRNA". From Rfam's summary of the family: Transfer RNA (tRNA) molecules are approximately 80 nucleotides in length. Their secondary structure includes four short double-helical elements and three loops (D, anti-codon, and T loops). The record is from RNAcentral. Lineage: Bacteria; Pseudomonadati; Planctomycetota.
GGAGGGUUGCCGGAGCGGCCGAACGGGGCGGUCUUGAAAACCGCUGGCACCGCGAGGUGCCCGGGGGUUCGAAUCCCUCACCCUCCG